UGGAAGUGCUGUGAGGCAUUGAGCUAACUCGUACUAAUUACCCGUGAGGCUUAACCAUACAACGCCAAAGUGGUUU
This 76-nucleotide ribosomal RNA is filed under the name Pseudoalteromonas luteoviolacea. RNAcentral describes it as "partial 23S ribosomal RNA". The record is from RNAcentral. Lineage: Bacteria; Pseudomonadati; Pseudomonadota; Gammaproteobacteria; Alteromonadales; Pseudoalteromonadaceae.